RNAcentral lists this ribosomal RNA (468 nucleotides) under uncultured bacterium. Its description in RNAcentral is "partial 16S ribosomal RNA". It matches the Rfam family "Bacterial small subunit ribosomal RNA", at positions 28 to 507 of the family's 1533-position model. The record is from RNAcentral.
GACGAACGCUGGCGGCGUGCUUAACACAUGCAAGUCGAACGGAAAGGCCCUGCUUUUGUGGGGUGCUCGAGUGGCGAACGGGUGAGUAACACGUGAGUAACCUGCCCUUGACUUUGGGAUAACUUCAGGAAACUGGGGCUAAUACCGGAUAGGAGCUCCUGCUGCAUGGUGGGGGUUGGAAAGUUUCGGCGGUUGGGGAUGGACUCGCGGCUUAUCAGCUUGUUGGUGGGGUAGUGGCUUACCAAGGCUUUGACGGGUGGCCGGCCUGAGAGGGUGACCGGCCACAUUGGGACUGAGAUACGGCCCCGACUCCUACGGGAGGCAGCAGUGGGGAAUAUUGCACAAUGGGCGGAAGCCUGAUGCAGCAACGCCGCGUGCGGGAUGACGGCCUUCGGGUUGUAAACCGCUUUCGCCUGUGACGAAGCGUGAGUGACGGUAAUGGGUAAAGAAGCACCGGCUAACUACGUG